Long non-coding RNA from Gigantopelta aegis, 268 nucleotides. RefSeq lists it as uncharacterized. NCBI's taxonomy places the organism in Eukaryota, Metazoa, Mollusca, Gastropoda, Neomphalida, Peltospiridae. The transcript has 3 exons. The record is from RefSeq and is a predicted model, not a curated record.
CGUUGUUCAGCCUGUGGAUGGUGGAUGCAGCUCUCCCAGUCAUCGUUCGUGAAUAGUUCACAUUCUUAGCUCUGUGAUUCUGUGUGUACCCAGGAACAUGGAUCGGUGCCACCAGUUGUUCGUUAUUCCUCCACUGCAGUCGACCGAGUACCGCGAACACUUUGAACAGUCACCACCGUAGCACGAAAGUGUCGAUUGCAGGACCUUUGACGCAGUACAUGUACUCGUAAUGGGACGUAGCAGGCGGACUGGCUGUGACGCACCUUCG